RNAcentral lists this ribosomal RNA (253 nucleotides) under uncultured bacterium. RNAcentral's name for it is "partial 16S ribosomal RNA". It matches the Rfam family "Bacterial small subunit ribosomal RNA", at positions 524 to 776 of the family's 1533-position model. The record is from RNAcentral.
UACGGAGGGGGCGAGCGUUGUUCGGAUUUACUGGGCGUAAAGGGCGCGCAGGCGGCGCGUUUUGUCAGGCGUGAAAGCCCCGGGCUUAACCUGGGAACUGCGUUUGAUACGGAUGGGCUAGAGUUCGGGAGAGGAGAGUGGAAUUCCUGGUGUAGCGGUGAAAUGCGCAGAUAUCAGGAAGAACACCCGUGGCGAAAGCGGCUCUCUGGAACGGGACUGACGCUGAGACGCGAAAGCGAGGGGAGCGAACGGG